RNAcentral lists this ribosomal RNA (445 nucleotides) under uncultured bacterium. RNAcentral's name for it is "partial 16S ribosomal RNA". It matches the Rfam family "Bacterial small subunit ribosomal RNA", at positions 354 to 796 of the family's 1533-position model. The record is from RNAcentral.
GCGAGGAAUAUUGGACAAUGGGCGCAAGCCUGAUCCAGCCAUGCCGCGUGCAGGAAGACGCAUCUAUGGUGUGUAAACUGCUUUUGUACGGGAAGAAACACUCCCUCGUGAGGGAGCUUGACGGUACCGUAAGAAUAAGGAUCGGCUAACUCCGUGCCAGCAGCCGCGGUAAUACGGAGGAUCCAAGCGUUAUCCGGAAUCACUGGGUGUAAAGGGUCCGUAGGCGGUUUAAUAAGUCAGUGGUGAAAGCCCAUCGCUCAACGAUGGAACGGCCAUUGAUACUGUUAGACUUGAAGUACAAGGAAGUAACUAGAAUAUGUAGUGUAGCGGUGAAAUGCUUAGAUAUUACGUGGAAUACCAAUUGCGAAGGCAGGUUACUACUUGUGGAUUGACGCUGAUGGACGAAAGCGUGGGGAGCGAACAGGAUUAGAUACCCUGGUAGUCC